AAUAUAUUACAUAUUUCUUAAAAAAUGCAAUUCUUAGGCUGGUUUUUUUAAUCUCCAGAUCGGAGACGAAGGCCAGCUUCCCAUCCCAUAAUAAUCUCAAUUAUUUAAAAGUUGUUUUAUCGGGUGGAAUAUGUCCCAUUACCAAGAAGAUGAUGCUGAAUACAUGGAUGAGUAUGACAUUGAAGACAUAGAUGAUGAAAUGGAUGAAGAGUUUCCUAGCAGAUAUAUCUCUGGCUCAGACUCCGAUGUUGAUGAAAAUGACUACUUG
This is a long non-coding RNA of Hibiscus syriacus, 268 nucleotides long. RefSeq lists it as uncharacterized. NCBI's taxonomy places the organism in Eukaryota, Viridiplantae, Streptophyta, Magnoliopsida, Malvales, Malvaceae. The record is from RefSeq and is a predicted model, not a curated record. The transcript has 2 exons.